RNAcentral lists this ribosomal RNA (254 nucleotides) under uncultured bacterium. Its description in RNAcentral is "partial 16S ribosomal RNA". It matches the Rfam family "Bacterial small subunit ribosomal RNA", at positions 524 to 776 of the family's 1533-position model. The record is from RNAcentral.
UACGGAGGGCGCGAGCGUUGUCCGGAAUCACUGGGCGUAAAGGGCGCGUAGGCGGCCCUGGUAAGUCUGCGGUGAAAGCCCGGGGCUCAACCCCGGGUCGGCCGCGGGUACUGCCGGGCUGGAGUGCCGUAGGGGCAGGCGGAAUUCCGGGUGUAGCGGUGGAAUGCGUAGAGAUCCGAAAGAACACCGGUGGCGAAGGCGGCCUGCUGGGCGGCGACUGACGCUGAGGCGCGACAGCGUGGGGAGCAAACAGG